CCGAUGGUGGUCGAGUGGCUUGGAACGUUUUUUUACCACGGAAGAUAGAGGUUCGAAUCCCCGCCAUCGGC
RNAcentral lists this transfer RNA (71 nucleotides) under Fasciola gigantica. RNAcentral's name for it is "tRNA-Gly". The record is from RNAcentral. Lineage: Eukaryota; Metazoa; Platyhelminthes; Trematoda; Plagiorchiida; Fasciolidae.